UACGUAGGGGGCAAGCGUUGUCCGGAUUUAUUGGGCGUAAAGAGCGUGUAGGCGGCUAGGUAGGUCCGUUGUGAAAACUCGAGGCUCAACCUCGAGACGUCGAUGGAAACCAUCUAGCUAGAGUCCGGAAGAGGAGAGUGGAAUUCCUGGUGUAGCGGUGAAAUGCGCAGAUAUCAGGAGGAACACCGAUGGCGAAGGCAGGUCUCUGGGCAUUAACUGACGCUGAGGAGCGAAAGCAUGGGGAGCGAACAGG
This 253-nucleotide ribosomal RNA is filed under the name uncultured bacterium. RNAcentral's name for it is "partial 16S ribosomal RNA". It matches the Rfam family "Bacterial small subunit ribosomal RNA", at positions 524 to 776 of the family's 1533-position model. The record is from RNAcentral.